Molecule: ribosomal RNA, 451 nt
Filed under: Pelobates cultripes (western spadefoot toad)
Lineage: Eukaryota; Metazoa; Chordata; Amphibia; Anura; Pelobatidae
Description: SSU_rRNA_microsporidia
Rfam family: Eukaryotic small subunit ribosomal RNA
Source: RNAcentral
UUUUGUAAUAAACCAAGUAUAUUUUUUCUAAGAAGACCUCUGGAGUGCACUCGUUUUUUAUUUAUAUUAUUUUUAUAUAUAUAUAUAUAUAUAUAUAUAUAUAAAACAUUUUUUUUUUUUUUAAAUUGGGGUAGCCCCCAAAAUAUUGGGACAUAUAAAAAAAAGGACAACUCUGUUCCACAGAGUAGCUGUUGACAUUAUAGUUGCGCAGGCACUUUGUUGACUCUAGAGAACCUCGGGCCAAUCGCACAUCCCUGUGACGGCGACUUUGCAUUCGGAUGUCAUCCAUAUCAACUUUCGAUGCCAGUUUAUGCGCCUACCAUGGUGACCACGGGUAACGGGGAAUCAGGGUGCCAUUCCAUACAGUGACCCUGAGAAACGGCUACCACAUGCAAGGAAGGCAGCAGGCGCGCAAAUAACCCACUCCCGACGCUGGAUGGUAGUGACGAAA